ACAACAAUGACGACUUGGCAUUGCUGUGAAUUGAAUGCAGAGCUGUGUCCAUGCUAGGCUGGCAAGUGCUUUACAGUUUUCUGAAUUCCUCACUGUAUUUGCAUCUCUCAUCCAUGGCUUCUCAUCGACUCCUGUCCUUCAUUCCUCUGCAGUACUGUUUUCUUUUCAACUAAGCACUCGAGAUUUGGUUAGCUUUUCGUCUACUCCAACACUAACAGUUUUGGAAAUGGUAGGUACAGCCGAUCAUUGUGGUGGGCAUGAAACUUAGAAAUCAUUAGACAUUACCACUCUCAUCACAUUUCCUUUCUCUAAACAUUCCUAAGAUGGUUUUUACUGUAUCCAAAAGGAACCGACACAUGUAUAGUGUUUGAAUCACUCCUUACACUUUAUGGUGGACAACAGAGUAGGCCUUUCAUUACAAUUCUGGGUGGCUGUUUUGGCAAAAUACUAAUAACCUUCGGAUUUAGCAAUUAUUUAUUAUAAAGAGGCAAUUAUGUGUAGACAUAGGCUUUUUAAUAAAAAAGUAAUUUAAAAAGUAAUCUAUCAUAAAAAUGCCUUGAAGAAUGUACAAUAUUAGUAAAAUAUAUAGAAGAUGACAUUUGUGUAAUAUAUUAGGAAAAUCCAUUGAAUGGAAAAUGAAUUAGAAAGUUCUUUGUUUUAUUUUACCAAAAUACAUUACAGGAUAUUUGUAUACUGUGAACCCUGAACUUGUGCUGUUUACUGGAAAAACCUGUUUUAGUUGUGGUGAGGCUCAGCCCCCAGCACACACCUUUAAGCCCUUUGGCUGGAAUUCAGACACACUCUUAGUACACACCUU
RNAcentral lists this small RNA (817 nucleotides) under Rattus norvegicus (Norway rat). Its description in RNAcentral is "uncharacterized LOC103690933". The record is from RNAcentral. Lineage: Eukaryota; Metazoa; Chordata; Mammalia; Rodentia; Muridae.